GUGAAUCAUCAAAUUUUUGAACGCAAAUUGCACUCUCUGGUAUUCCGGAGAGUAUGCCUGUUUGAGGGUCAGUUUAAAUAAAAAUCGGUGUUGUUGCUGCCUUUCGUGGUGACGCACCGGAUUUGGGUCGUCUUGUCUUUGGUUAAGUGACCUAAAAUUUUGCAUGAUUUUUUUCUAAUGUAUUUAAAUGAUUUUAUGUACUUUUGCGAUACUUAAUACUAAGUGUUGUUAUCCUCAUGACUC
This 243-nucleotide unclassified non-coding RNA is filed under the name Glomeraceae sp. RNAcentral's name for it is "partial contains 5.8S ribosomal RNA and internal transcribed spacer 2". The stretch from base 1 to 71 matches the Rfam family "5.8S ribosomal RNA", at positions 84 to 154 of the family's 154-position model. The record is from RNAcentral. Lineage: Eukaryota; Fungi; Glomeromycota; Glomeromycetes; Glomerales; Glomeraceae.